This is a small nuclear RNA of Perognathus longimembris pacificus (Pacific pocket mouse), 105 nucleotides long. Lineage: Eukaryota; Metazoa; Chordata; Mammalia; Rodentia; Heteromyidae. The record is from RefSeq and is a predicted model, not a curated record.
GUGCUCGCUUUGGCAAUACAUAUACUAAAAUUGGAUCAACACACAGAUUAGCAUGGCCCCUGUGUCAGGAUGCCAAUGCACAUCCAUGAAAUGUUUCGUGUUUUU